UGCAGUCGAGCGGUAACAGGAAUUAGCUUGCUAAUUUGCUGACGAGCGGCGGACGGGUGAGUAAUGCCUGGGAAUAUGCCUUAGUGUGGGGGAUAACUAUUGGAAACGAUAGCUAAUACCGCAUAACGUCUUCGGACCAAAGAGGGGGACCUUCGGGCCUCUCGCGCUAAGAUUAGCCCAGGUGGGAUUAGCUAGUUGGUGAGGUAAAGGCUCACCAAGGCAACGAUCCCUAGCUGGUCUGAGAGGAUGACCAGCCACACUGGAACUGAGACACGGUCCAGACUCCUACGGGAGGCAGCAGUGGGGAAUAUUGCACAAUGGGGGGAACCCUGAUGCAGCCAUGCCGCGUGUAUGAAGAAGGCCUUCGGGUUGUAAAGUACUUUCAGUCGUGAGGAAGGUGUUGCAGUUAAUAGCUGCAGCAUUUGACGUUAGCGACAGAAGAAGCACCGGCUAACUCCGUGCCAGCAGCCGCGGUAAUACGGAGGGUGCGAGCGUUAAUCGGAAUUACUGGGCGUAAAGCGCAUGCAGGCGGUCUGUUAAGCAAGAUGUGAAAGCCCGGGGCUCAACCUCGGAACCGCAUUUUGAACUGGCAGACUAGAGUCUUGUAGAGGGGGGUAGAAUUUCAGGUGUAGCGGUGAAAUGCGUAGAGAUCUGAAGGAAUACCGGUGGCGAAGGCGGCCCCCUGGACAAAGACUGACGCUCAGAUGCGAAAGCGUGGGGAGCAAACAGGAUUAGAUACCCUGGUAGUCCACGCCGUAAACGAUGUCUACUUGAAGGUUGUGCAGUCGAGCCG
Molecule: ribosomal RNA, 793 nt
Filed under: uncultured Photobacterium sp.
Lineage: Bacteria; Pseudomonadati; Pseudomonadota; Gammaproteobacteria; Vibrionales; Vibrionaceae
Description: bacterial SSU rRNA
Rfam family: Bacterial small subunit ribosomal RNA
Source: RNAcentral